This 926-nucleotide long non-coding RNA is filed under the name Strigops habroptila (Kakapo). Its description in RNAcentral is "lncRNA (ENSSHBG00005019043.1)". Lineage: Eukaryota; Metazoa; Chordata; Aves; Psittaciformes; Psittacidae. The record is from RNAcentral.
CUCAGCUUCUGGCCUCGGGAUUUUGGCUUCUGCUUUGAAAAGCUCCCCCCCACUACUCCCCCCGCCCACUAUCAUAUCCCGCUGCUGAAGGACAGCACAGGAUAAGAGACCACCUCCUUCAGUGAACCCAGAAGUGCCUCCCGUCCUGGUGCUGCCGUGCUUCUGUCCAGCCCCAGCCAUAAACAGUCUUUUCCUGUGGUGUGGGGGUGACGAAAGCCAGAAAUGAAAGGAAUGUUUUCCUAAGACUUGCUAGUUUUAUUUAGCUUGGUUCAAAAUAGACCUCCGACAAGGAUAACAAUAAAUGUCAGCAAGACACUACAUUAAGGCGGACCUGAAGCUCGUUGCUUGUGAUGUAGGAAAAGUUUACCUUGAAACUUUUUGUCCUGAGUUCUUUGAAUUCCAGGAUUUUAAUCCUGUAGUAGAUUCUGCAUAGCAUGUUGGAUGCUUUAAACUUUGUAAUGCUAAGGGUGUUCUCCCUGUAGCCUGCCUUUCCCUUGUAACCACACACCUGGACCAAGUUAUCCUCAGGGCCUUGCACAGAUGCAUUUGGAUGUUUUUUUCUGUCUGAUUUCUCCUAAAGAUUGAUAACUAUGGCAUUUCGGAACAAAGCAACAUCUCUUGAUCUGUUGUUCCUGCAAAGCAAAAUCAUGUACAUCUGUAAAUUGGUGAAUCCUGAUGAUUUUCCUGUUAAAGGCAGCUGAAGAUCUGGUUCUCUGUUUUCUGUGACUACGCUGAGUGGAACCAUAGUUCUGCUUUGAGCCAGGAAGUUACACUGGUUGGGUUGCAGAGGUCCUCUGCAAGCUAUAUGGCUUUAUAAUUCUAUAAAGAAGAAGAUUGCAAAGCUGAGGAACACAGGGAUGCCUAAGAAGAUGGAGAGGACCAGUGGGCAACACAGAGAAAGGAAUAAAAAACCAUACAAUUAAUUA